Ictalurus punctatus (channel catfish) is the source of this 733-nucleotide long non-coding RNA. The record is from Ensembl. NCBI's taxonomy places the organism in Eukaryota, Metazoa, Chordata, Actinopteri, Siluriformes, Ictaluridae.
CUGGUUUUUGUUUUGCCCUUCCAAUCUUUUGUAUGUAAAACAGUUUGAGAUUUUGAAAUUCAAACAUACAUUAUUAUUAUUGUUAGUAGUAGUAGUAGGAGGAGGAGGAGGAGGAGAAGAAGGAGGAGGAGGAAUAGUAGUAGCAGUAGUAGUAAUAGGAGCAGUAAUAGUAGGAGUAAGAGUACUAGUAGGAAGAGAAGGAGAACUAAUAGGCGUAGUAUUGGUAUUACUAGUAGUAGUAGUAGUAGAAGGAGGAGGAGGUGGUGUACAAGUAGUAGUAGUAGUGGUAGUAGAACUAGGAGGAGUAGCAGGAGGAGGUCUAUGAAUAGUAGUGGUGGUAGUAGUAGUAAUAGUAGUAGUAGAAGGAGGAGGAGAAGGUGUAUGAGUAGUAGUAGUAGUAGAAGGAGGAGGUGCAGGAGUAAGAGUAGUAGUAGUACCUGAAGGAGGAAAAGGAGGUGUAUGACUACUAGUAGUAGUAGUAGUAGUGGUAGUAGUAGUAGGAGGAGGAGGAGAGGUAUAUGAGUAUGAGUAGUAGUAGUAGUAGUAGUAAAAGGAGGAGAAGGAGGAGGUGUAGCAGUAGUAGUAGUAGUAGUAGUAGAAGGAGGAGGAGGAGGAGAAGGUAUAUGAGUAUGAGUAGUAGUAGUAGUAGUAGUAGUAAAAGUAAGAGGAGGAGGAGGAGGAGAAGGUAUAUGAGUAUGAGUAGUAGUAGUAGUAGUAGUAGUAGAAGGAGGAG